UUUGGGGUCUCAGCUUCAUCUCAUGGUCUUACAGAUGCUAAUGAAAGCAUUAAGGCAAUUACUAACACAGUG
This is a non-coding RNA of Ceratotherium simum simum (southern white rhinoceros), 72 nucleotides long. The record is from RefSeq and is a predicted model, not a curated record. NCBI's taxonomy places the organism in Eukaryota, Metazoa, Chordata, Mammalia, Perissodactyla, Rhinocerotidae.